This 72-nucleotide transfer RNA is filed under the name Bacteroidia bacterium. Its description in RNAcentral is "tRNA-Cys". It matches the Rfam family "tRNA". Rfam says of the family: Transfer RNA (tRNA) molecules are approximately 80 nucleotides in length. Their secondary structure includes four short double-helical elements and three loops (D, anti-codon, and T loops). Lineage: Bacteria; Pseudomonadati; Bacteroidota; Bacteroidia. The record is from RNAcentral.
GGCCCCGUGGCUGAGUGGUAAGGCGUGGCUCUGCAAAAGCCUGUACAUCGGUUCGAUUCCGUUCGGAGGCCU